GUGAACACUGGCGGUAGGCCUAACACAUGCAAGUCGAACGGCAGCACAGUAAGAGCUUGCUCUUACGGGUGGCGAGUGGCGGACGGGUGAGGAAUACAUCGGAAUCUACUUUUUCGUGGGGGAUAACGUAGGGAAACUUACGCUAAUACCGCAUACGACCUACGGGUGAAAGCAGGGGAUCUUCGGACCUUGCGCGAUUGAAUGAGCCGAUGUCGGAUUAGCUAGUUGGCGGGGUAAAGGCCCACCAAGGCGACGAUCCGUAGCUGGUCUGAGAGGAUGAUCAGCCACACUGGAACUGAGACACGGUCCAGACUCCUACGGGAGGCAGCAGUGGGGAAUAUUGGACAAUGGGCGCAAGCCUGAUCCAGCCAUACCGCGUGGGUGAAGAAGGCCUUCGGGUUGUAAAGCCCUUUUGUUGGGAAAGAAAAGCAGCAGGUUAAUACCCCGCUGUUCUGACGGUACCCAAAGAAUAAGCACCGGCUAACUUCGUG
This 491-nucleotide ribosomal RNA is filed under the name uncultured bacterium. RNAcentral describes it as "partial 16S ribosomal RNA". It matches the Rfam family "Bacterial small subunit ribosomal RNA", at positions 29 to 507 of the family's 1533-position model. The record is from RNAcentral.